Long non-coding RNA from Marmota monax (woodchuck), 7772 nucleotides. RefSeq lists it as uncharacterized. The record is from RefSeq and is a predicted model, not a curated record. The transcript has 5 exons. Lineage: Eukaryota; Metazoa; Chordata; Mammalia; Rodentia; Sciuridae.
CCCGCCCCCAGGAGUGCGUUGGGCGAGGCGGAUCUGACCGAGGAGCCCAAACUGCUCCUGGGGAAAACAGCCGUGAGAAUUCAUAGCGAAGGGGCCUGCAAACGCGGAAAUCAGGCAGACUCCGUCUCCAGGGGAAAGGGAGGGGUCGUGAGAAGGCACAUCAGCAUGCGGCGCUGGGCAGGCCAGUGGGACUCAGGUCCCAGGGGACAUCCAGCUGGCCUGGGAGGUGGCCCUCCUGGAGGGUGGCCCGGGGGUCAGGAGCACAGCCAACACCUAGGAGCUCCGUAGCCUUGGAGACCCGUGGUUGCUCCUUUCCCACCUGGCCGGGAGGCCCUGGCCGCAGUGUCACAGCUCAGCCCUGGGAGCCACACAGGGUCCAGCCAGGUGACACAGCUGAGUGGCCCAGGUGUCCAGGGUGCAGCACGGCCGGGCCCUCGGCACACAGAAGCUGCUCAGUGGUGCUCACAGGCGGCGUCCCGGGGUAUGGUGGGCAGGAAGCUGGGCUGGGUCCCUGCAGGACAGGGGGUGAUGAGUGACACCUACCUGUGCCAGGCGGGGGCCAGCAGGGGACACUGGCUGUCUGGAGUCACACACUCCCCUCCUGCCCUUGGUGACAAGAAAUGCCACACUAGGCAGCAGCUGGUGUGGCAUCGAGUGUGUCAGGGGACUCAGUGCCACAGGGUCCCCAGCUGUGACAAGGGGACAGGAAAGGAGAAAAGAAGGGCGGGUGCUCGAAGGACCUCAGUGCCAGCUGGCGAGUCUUGGUGUGCUGGUGGGGCCUGGGCCCUGCUGGCCCCGUGUCCUGCGGGGCCCAGCACUCAGCACACCUGCAGGGGUCCACUCGUCCCAGUAGGGACGUCCCUAGUCCCAAGCCCUGUGAUCCGGGCUCCCCCUCUCCCGCUGGGUCAGGGCCCUGUUUUCAGUUCACCAUGGGGCGUGGUCCCAGGGCUGCUGGUGGUGGCCUGGGUGGUGGCACAACCCCGCUGGAGGCCUGCUGAGGGACUGUGACCAACCCGCAGCGGGGAGCGGGUCUGUGUGCCAGCGCCUGGCUGUGUCCCACCUGGGGAGGGUCCGGGCACGGGUGCCCCAUGUGAGUGCUGGCUUCCAGGUGGGCGUUGGGGCAGGGCCAGGCGGGGUGCCCAUGUGCUGCGCAGGCUGGCGUGUGAGGCCGCGCGUCCUUGGGUGACAGCAGCCCUCCGAGCCUCUGCACGUUGGGGCUGGAAGAGUGACAGCAGCGGUGUUUGGGAGGGUCCCAGGGACGCAUGGUGGCCGGGAUUCUGCCUGCUUCCACCCUCUCUCUGGACCUGCUCCGGCUCCGCCCUGACCUGGCUCUGCGGCUUCCUGGCCCAGCUGGACCUGCGUUCUCCAGCCCCAGAACAUUCCAGCCUCGCUCCUUCGGCAGACACCGGAGUGACUUCACUUUCCCGAGCACUGGAUUCCCUGGCCCUUCACGUACAGGAGCUGGCGGCCCUGGGGGCUGGGGACGUGUCCUUGGAGAGCUGACCUGGCCAGUGCUUCUUACCCCAGGACUCGGCUGCCUUGACCGCCACUUGGGUGAGCAGUCAGCCCCCCCCCCCCCCAGACAGGCCUUGCCGUGUGCUCCCUGGUACUUCGGAAACGCUGGCGUUGAAGUCUGCCCUGUGCCCCGGCGAUUCCUGCCUGUGCCCCUGUGACAUUCGAUCCCCCUGAACAAGUGCUUCGGCUACGGUCUUUCUUGGUUUGAUUCCAGCACGUGGAGCUUUUAACCAUCUUCCCACAUGAACAGCCACCCACAGCUCCCAGAGUGGCUGGUGCUUCCCUGCGGGAAGCCGGAGCACCUCCCUGUGCACAGAGGACCUCCCUGUGCCCCUGCCUUCAGGACCACAACGCUGCCUCCUGUCAAGGAAGGAGUCCCUCUCCCUCGAGCCGGGCUUGACUGUGGUCAGCCUGACUCUGACGGUUCGGCUGGCCUGAGGCUCCACGGUCUGGGGCAGGGCACAGGAAUGAGGGCGGGUCGGGCGCCAGCUCCGCUGCACACUUGGACCUCUCACUAGUGCCACUGGUUUGCUGAAGCCGAUUCACUUCUACACAGAGUGGGACAGGUGCAGUGAGCUCCCUUGACCUGCUCCAAGCAUGGAGAAAGCUCUGGACCUCACAGUGGUCAUGCAGGGGACACUGGACACUUGGGGUCCCCAAAGUGAGGCAGGAGCACCAGCUUCCUGGGCUGUUGCAACAAGCACCCCAAACUGGGGCUCCAAACAGUGGCGAUUCCUGCUCACAGGGGCAGGGGGUGCGGGCAGGGCCGGAGCUCCUGGAGGCCCUAGAGCCUGUCCCUUGUCCGUCUCUUCCUUCUGGUGGCUGCUGACCGGCCUUGCGAUCCCGUAUGCAUCACUGUGACCCCUGCCCACUCUCACGUGCUUCUCCCUGUGUCUGUGUCCUGCCUUCCUCAUCCUGGGACACCAGCGGCUGGACACUGCCCGCAAGGCUGCCUGCAGGACCUCCUCCUAGCCUGACCACAGCCACAGAGGUCUGUUUCCAACAAGCUCACUCUCAAGGGGCCGGGUCAGGGCUUCAGUGCACCUUCUAGGGAGACAUGAUUCAACCAAAACAGAGGGUACACGGAGGCCUGGCGCUGACUGUGGCCGUCACUACGGCUCUGCUCAGAGGCACGUCUUGGAAGUCCCACGGGAGCACAUGCAGGGCUGGUUUGAGCAUUGGGUGUCACCAUCCUGGGACAACCCGUGCUGGACUGCUCCUCCUGGGGACGUGGGAGCCCUCCCUGCAGAUAUCAGGCCAGGGCCAGCUGGAGGCUGCCCCUCUGGGGACAGUGUCCUUGGGCCACUGCAGGGAUGUCCCUCUGUCACGCUCUCGGUGACCUCUUCUUGGCCAUGUUGCUCCUGGGCCUUGGCUGCUUGUACCUCCUGGACCCCUCCCCAGAGCCCACCACCCCUGGGUCCCCUUCCCACAUUCUGCUCUUGGCCUUCCAGUGUCCUAUGACAGGGACGUCCCUGCAAUUGUUACCACAGUGUCACUUAUUCGGGUUCCUAAGGCGGGUUCCCCCCAUCCCCACACUCAUUUUGAAUUUCUAAUGCUCUUUUAUUGCAAGCAGCAGACACACCUUCCCUGUGCCCUGGGGCUCCCAGCUCCCUGGUCAGUCCAGGCUGUGGAGUCCACCCUUCAACUCUGGCCUCUUUUUCUUGUGCUGCUGGGGACCAGGGCUGGGAGCGGCGAGCUACGCCCCAGUCGCAGGGUGAAAUCCGCACGUCCAGGCCAUUCUCAGGUCAGCUGGUCUCCGUGUUGUGCUUCGUGCUCUUUAGGUUUUUAAGUCCUGGAAACGUCUCUGGUGACCCAGGCUCCUGCCAGAGGAGACACAGACCUGCCGGUGUCUGCUUCCAGGGGGCUUCUCCUCGUGGCCUGCUCUGGGCCUCGCUGCUCUGCUCCUGAGCAUGUGGCUUUGACCCUUGAUGGCAUCUCUCCCACUUGUCUCCCGGCCAGAAACACUUUGCUCUAAUAUCUGCAAAAGCAGCUGCGGGAGGACCCUGCUGGGAGCAGUGGGGACGUGCUCCCUGCCCAGCAGAGCCACGGCCCUCUCCUGGGGCGGAUGUGGGGACCGUGUCUUCUCUCCCACUGUUCAUGCAUCUGUGGGUUUUCCAAGGUCAAAUGCAGUUUAACUCCUGUGUGUGCGGGAGAGAUUGAUGGGCGCUGGCCUCCCGACAGGUUUGACAUCCACCAUUUGGUGUGCUUUUCAAAGGCUCCCACUUUUAAUCGUAGAGCACUGACAGGAGUUUUGGGGGCUUCCUUCUGUUGGGAAAUGUUCAUCCUUGGAAGCAGUGGUGGGGCCUCCCACACGCUGUCAGCGUGAGGAGUGGGGGGCCUGGCUGGUUGCGUGGCUGAUUCGGGGAACAGGGGUUUCCUCCCGCGUCCUGGGAGCCAGCCAGCCGGGUCCAGCAUGCCAGCCCGCGGGAGGGAGGCCGUGGAGGGCGGCCAGCAGGAACCAGCUCCCGGGUGAGUCCAGCUCUGCUCGGCCCAGGCCCAGCUGGCUUCUCUAAGGCCUCGCCUCCGACUUCCUUCAGGAAGAAGGAUCCGCCUCCUCUUGGACUCACAUGCUCACACGGCAACAGGACCAGCCACCUGCGUGGGGAGACGUGGUCCCCCCCCCCCCGCCACCUUCCUUCCAGUGUCCAUCCCAGUCCUGCUGUGGCAAGGACAUGCUGGGCCCCUCAUGGCCAGGGUCAGGGAGGGGUCAGAUAUAAUCCACCUCAGGGAGCUCUGGACGGGUCAGAGGAGGGAAGAUGUCCAAGGUCAGCUUGAACGAGCAGCAGUUCACAGGGGACAGGGCACCACUCAUCUCUUGACGUAGGAACUUCCGGCCCAGGGAAUGGCUCAAGCUGCCGGCUCAGGGCAGGAAGUGCAGGCUGGCUCCAUGUUCAAGGACAGCUUCGCCAAGAGCCCAAAGCUGGCCUGAGACAUCCUACGUGCCUGGCCCUGGUUCCUUGAGAUGGCGUGUGGGGACGGGGUGCAGAGCUGGGUGGACUGGGUGCCUUUGGAUUGGAUGGCCACAGAACAUCUGACUCUAAGUGAAGCCCAAGCCUGAGCCUGGCCGAUGGGCAGCCGUGGGGAGAACACUGUGGUCCUCAGAGAUGGCUCGGGCUGGAGAGGAUCUCUAGGGCACCCUGAGCUCUGAAGCACCGCGAUUCUACUUCCAGUGCAAGAGCGGGCCCUCUUACAGCCAGCCAGAGGGGCCUGGAAAUCUGACGUUCCACAGAACUAGCCCGAAGGAAGAAGCAAAACAGAACACCCUCAGCUACUCCCUGUUGGGUUCCGGACUCCACACAGUUGCAUAUGGACACAAUACCUCUAUUUUAUUUUUAUGUGUUGCUGAGGAUCAAACCCAGUGCCUCACAUGUGCAAGGCAAGUGCUCUACCACUGAGCUACAACCGCAGCUCUGUCAAUUUUAUAUUGGAAGGAAAAACCCUGUAAACCAACGUUGACCGCGAGCUAACACUAAGCAUGCGAGCUCCUCCUGCCCCACAGCCCCAGCCCUUGACCGCUGGCCUCCACUGGACUGGGCGUCGUGUGCCAGCUGGCACUCAAUUAAACAAGGAGGAAGCUGGCUGACCUGGGCACCAGGCUCUGUGCAAAAGGGAAGCCGAGCUUCUAGGGGCCCCCACAUUCCUGGCUCCUGGUCCCGUCCUCUACCUUACAGUCAGCGGCACAAGAGCUCCAUGACUCUCCGAAUCUGUCUUCAUUGUCACGUCUCCUCUGAAGUGGACCUUGCUGCCACCCUCCAGAGAUGCUGCGAUGACCCUGGGCCGCCUGGCUGUUCUUGGAGCUCACGUGGACUGAGGGAGGCUGCUUCGGAGGUGGGGGACACAGAACACCCUGAAUUUUCUCAGCGGAGCCCAAGUGAAGCCCAGUGAACUUUCUUUCAAGGCUGCUCUCGACUGUGACGUGAGGAUCUCACCCAGCGGUGGCCUGAGGGAGUGUGCUGAACCUAGAGGCUUUUUGCCCAGAGGCUGUUUGUCUGAGCCCUGAUUCCCCACUGGUGCCUACUGUGGGAACAGGCAGUCCCCCCACACACGCUUCCCCUUGAAGGCAAGCUCCUGUGACAUGUUUAGGCCUUGGCAUGAACAGCCACCAUGUGCCCAACAGGUGGGGACUCCUGGGAGAGUAGGUCCUCAAGAGGCUUAGUCUGGUGUGAGAGCCCCACUGAGCCAGGAACCCAGUAAUAAGUGACACUUCAUAAACAAGAAGUCACUUCCCAUUGAGACCUAGGAUUGGCCAGUUCUCCUUUGGUCUUUCCCCUGUCAGGCAGAAGGGAAGAAUAAGGGACCAAGGAGCUUGUAAGUCAUGUUUCUAUCUGCGCUGAGGGCUGAUCCUGACAGGUGUGUCCUCAGUGCUUUUAUGGGCUGUACGUGUGACUCAGGAAGCCCAGGGACUCCCCCAGCUGCCCGCCAGGCAGGGCCCUCUGAUGGGAAGUGGUAUCUGAUACUCAGUUUCCUUUCACACCAGUUUCUCUUGCAUCCCGCAGCUUCAGUGAGUCAGAAAAGCCCUCCUAGAAACUUCUGGUGCUUGGGCUUCUGCUGCUCAGGCUGGAGUGCCUGGGGACUGGUGUCCGUGAGCUGAAGGGUCCCCCGGACUGUGCUGCCUCAGCCCCUCCUCAGGACUCCAUGUUGAGCCUUGGCUCACGUGAGACAGCUCUUGCCUCUGCCACCAUCGAGAGACACCUUCUCUCUGGGCCACUGAUAGAGGAUCUCUGGGUUCCAGAACAGGGGCAAAAGCAGUUUAGGGACAGGCUUGAAGGCUGGGGUGUGGAGAGGGGAGAGCAGAGAGGAAUGGACUCAAAGGACACUGAAGUGAAAGGAAAAAACAUGAUCAGUGGGUCUCAGAGGGAGGUGGCUUUUGCUCCAUACCACAGUUUCCAAAGUCUGGAGACACUUUGGUUGUCAGAACUGGGGCUGCUUCUGGUGACUAGUGGGUCAAGGACAUCCUACAAUGCACAGGAUGUCUCCCUCUGCAAGGAUUGGGCCACCCCUCAUGCUGAUGGUGUCACGGCUGGAUACCAGAUUCAGCUGAGGAACUUCCAGCUGAGCUGUGUUGGGAAAAUCCUUAUGUGAGUUGGAAUUUUAGAAGAAAAGCUCCAUUUUUUAGUUUCUUUAGUUGAAACCAGUGGUUCAAUGAAGCUCAGAGGCAAGGACUCACUGGGUGACCUUGCCAGGUAGGCAUUUGUGGGAAGAGCAGGAAGUCUUGGGCUGAGCUGGGGCUUAUCGGUAGACACUGGCCCAGCAUUCACGCGGCACUGGGCUCCCGAAAACAAAAACAAAAACAAAAACAAAAAACUCCUGAGUAUUCCUCAGGGACAGCGACAACUCCCUCCUGUACAUCGGUUAAUGAUUGGUUAACGGGGCAGCUCUCUCCCUUGGGAUGAACAUUCAGGAGAAGACAGCAGACCCCUCCUGGGUCCCCCAAACUACUUCCCAGGUGAGUUAUGGGUCCUGGGAAACUGCCUGAGUUGCUGCCUGGCUGUGGUGACGUUUCCCCGGAUGAUGCUGAUCACCAUGGAGGACCCUUCUCUCUCCAAGUCUGUCUUAGAUGAAAGGAAGGUUCAGCUCGAGUUGAGUGAGGUGGUGCAAGCCUGUAAUCCCAGUGACUGGGGAGGCUGAGGCAGGAGGAGCACAAGUUCAAGGCCAGCCCGUGAAACUCAUCAAGACCCUGUAUCAAAAUUAAAAAAAAAAAUUAAAAGGCUGGGUGUGUAGCUCAAUGGUAGGGCACCCCUGGGUUCAAUCCUCAGUACCAAAAAAAGUUUCAGUCAGGUGCCUUCUGAAAGAAAGGAUGAAGGCCAGCAUUCCCAAGAAUGGACAUCAAAUGGGCCGACAGGUCUGAGAUGUCCACUAGAGAAGGCAGCGUGGAAAGUGCAUGAGGGCAGGAUGGCCUAGAAUCAAGACCCUUUUUGAACCAUGGGCAAAUCCUCUAAUAAGAAAAGAAACUGAGAAUUUUAGGCGACGUCCAGGGAAAAUCACCACGGUCUGCUUGGGGGGGUGGCGGGAGGGAGAGGCUUUAGGAAAACUCUGAAAAUUCUUCAGUACGUUUUGCUUUUGCUCACUUAGAUUUAGAGGAAUCCACUGGCAAAAUGAAACUGAAAGCUUGCUUUCCCGCUGAGUCUCCUGCUGACCACAGGGUGUGAAUCUGCCCUUGACUCUAGACUGUCAGCGGGUUUCACUGCAUGAUUCUUUGGGGGUCGGCUUUGUCAACGUAUAAUUGAUGUACAAUAAACUUCACCAUUGUAAGUGCA